Molecule: ribosomal RNA, 531 nt
Filed under: Saccharomyces cerevisiae (brewer's yeast)
Lineage: Eukaryota; Fungi; Ascomycota; Saccharomycetes; Saccharomycetales; Saccharomycetaceae
Description: 21S R2 ribosomal RNA
Rfam family: Bacterial large subunit ribosomal RNA (bases 1-371)
Source: RNAcentral
GUCGACUCAUCAUUUCCUCUUGGUUGUAAAAGCUAAGAAGGGUUUGACUGUUCGUCAAUUAAAAUGUUACGUGAGUUGGGUUAAAUACGAUGUGAAUCAGUAUGGUUCCUAUCUGCUGAAGGAAAUAUUAUCAAAUUAAAUCUCAUUAUUAGUACGCAAGGACCAUAAUGAAUCAACCCAUGGUGUAUCUAUUGAUAAUAAUAUAAUAUAUUUAAUAAAAAUAAUACUUUAUUAAUAUAUUAUCUAUAUUAGUUUAUAUUUUAAUUAUAUAUUAUCAUAGUAGAUAAGCUAAGUUGAUAAUAAAUAAAUAUUGAAUACAUAUUAAAUAUGAAGUUGUUUUAAUAAGAUAAUUAAUCUGAUAAUUUUAUACUAAAAUUAAUAAUUAUAGGUUUUAUAUAUUAUUUAUAAAUAAAUAUAUUAUAAUAAUAAUAAUUAUUAUUAUUAAUAAAAAAUAUUAAUUAUAAUAUUAAUAAAAUACUAAUUUAUCAGUUAUCUAUAUAAUAUCUAAUCUAAUCUAUUAUUCUAUAUACU